RNAcentral lists this ribosomal RNA (284 nucleotides) under Neglectibacter timonensis. RNAcentral's name for it is "partial 16S ribosomal RNA". It matches the Rfam family "Bacterial small subunit ribosomal RNA", at positions 487 to 776 of the family's 1533-position model. Lineage: Bacteria; Bacillati; Bacillota; Clostridia; Eubacteriales; Oscillospiraceae. The record is from RNAcentral.
UAUGGUCCUUUUGUUCCAGCCGCCGCGGUAAUACGUAGGGAGCAAGCGUUGUCCGGAUUUACUGGGUGUAAAGGGUGCGUAGGCGGAUUGGCAAGUCAGAAGUGAAAUCCAUGGGCUUAACCCAUGAACUGCUUUUGAAACUGUUAGUCUUGAGUGAAGUAGAGGUAGGCGGAAUUCCCGGUGUAGCGGUGAAAUGCGUAGAGAUCGGGAGGAACACCAGUGGCGAAGGCGGCCUACUGGGCUUUAACUGACGCUGAGGCACGAAAGUGUGGGUAGCAAACAGG